CAAGGACAUAUGUGGAAACUUCAUUUGUAAAUGGGUGAUAUGCGUCCGAAUAUUCAUUCAUGUUUAACACCUUGGAGAACAGAUACCCUGA
Small nucleolar RNA from Papaver somniferum (opium poppy), 91 nucleotides. The record is from RefSeq and is a predicted model, not a curated record. Lineage: Eukaryota; Viridiplantae; Streptophyta; Magnoliopsida; Ranunculales; Papaveraceae.